RNAcentral lists this ribosomal RNA (468 nucleotides) under uncultured bacterium. Its description in RNAcentral is "partial 16S ribosomal RNA". It matches the Rfam family "Bacterial small subunit ribosomal RNA", at positions 28 to 507 of the family's 1533-position model. The record is from RNAcentral.
GACGAACGCUGGCGGCGUGCUUAACACAUGCAAGUCGAACGGAAAGGCCCUGCUUUUGUGGGGUGCUCGAGUGGCGAACGGGUGAGUAACACGUGAGUAACCUGCCCUUGACUUUGGGAUAACUUCAGGAAACUGGGGCUAAUACCGGAUAGGAGCUCCUGCUGCAUGGUGGGGGUUGGAAAGUUUCGGCGGUUGGGGAUGGACUCGCGGCUUAUCAGCUUGUUGGUGGGGUAGUGGCUUACCAAGGGUUUGACGGGUAGCCGGCCUGAGAGGGUGACCGGCCACAUUGGGACUGAGAUACGGCCCAGACUCCUACGGGAGGCAGCAGUGGGGAAUAUUGCACAAUGGGCGGAAGCCUGAUGCAGCAACGCCGCGUGCGGGAUGACGGCCUUCGGGUUGUAAACCGCUUUCGCCUGUGACGAAGCGUUAGUGACGGUAAUGGGUAAAGAAGCACCGGCUAACUACGUG